CCCACUCUUCUUACCUAGAUGUCACCCCAGUCUCCUCGGUAGUUCAUGCUAUCACCUGUGGUUUGUUCCCCCUUUUCUCAUUCCCCAUUUUGCCUUUGCGUCUUGUGUUCUGCGUCAGCAUGUUUAUGACCAAUAUCUGAUACAUUUUUGUUUCUGGCUCACAGAACAGCCUGUCAGAUGAUGGGGUCCACACAGAUCAAACAAGGCCCCUCUUCUUCCCAUCACACAAGAAAGCUGCCUGCAACAAUCUUAUUUAUACUCUUUAUUUCUUUCAAUAAAUUUGAAUAAAUGUAAAGCAAACAUUUGAAAUAAGGAUUUAACAUUUUUCUUAAUAGCAAACGUUAACACCAUCAAAAUAUUUUAACAUUAUUCAUCGUGUAUACAAGACAUAUGAGAUUUAUCCAACAGACUCACUGACCCAUUUAAAAAAUCGUAAGUAUUUUAAUCCAUUGUGUCCUGGUUGUUUGAGCUGGUGCAAAUAAAGGAAUCUCAGGUCACGUUCUUGUGUGUCAAAUGUGUGUGUGUGUGUGGGGGGGGGGGGGGGGGGGGGGGGGGGGGGGUACAACCAAGCGAUUUAGUCGGUCUCAGAUGUAAACCUUUACUUUACCAGAUAUUCACUGUCUGCUGUAAAAUGGGAAAAAUGUAUACUAGUGUCUAUCCUCCUAAAUGACGUCUAGAAUAUCUUUAUUAACCCUAACACUAACCCUAACCCUAACUCUUGGAAGACUUAGGCAAUCAACAAUGUCUGUACAAUACAAGAAUGAUCGUCUAUCAUGGCCACCACGAUGAAUACAACUCGUAGCAACCACACUGGCCAAAUGCUGUUCCCUUAGAGAACCAGCAGGUGGUGCUCACACGACACUGGCCAAAGUGCUGUUCCCUAGAGAACCAACAGAUGGUGUUCACACGACAGUGGCCAAAGUACUGUUCCCUUAGAGAACCAGCAGGUGGUGCUCACGCACAACACUCAGAAUCACAACAGACUUCAAGGUGGACCUAGGGACCAAGGAGCCAGGUCCACCGUAGAGAUAGAGGGUACGUUUACAAUUGAGGUUGAUUCAAGGGCCAAAGUGUGAACUUCCAUCUGGAAUAAAAGUAUUUUUGUCUCUUGCUCAAGCGUAUCAAGAGGAAAUAGUCGUCUCGUAGACAUAUUUGAGUUAACAACGGCACAACGUCGUGAUAGCAACAGUUAAACUACAUAUCGUUGGGGAAAACAGUCACAAGGCAGUGUUUA
Gadus macrocephalus (Pacific cod) is the source of this 1234-nucleotide long non-coding RNA. RefSeq lists it as uncharacterized. Lineage: Eukaryota; Metazoa; Chordata; Actinopteri; Gadiformes; Gadidae. The transcript has 2 exons. The record is from RefSeq and is a predicted model, not a curated record.